RNAcentral lists this RNase P RNA (316 nucleotides) under Acidilobus sp. 7A. RNAcentral describes it as "archaeal RNase P". It matches the Rfam family "Archaeal RNase P". Rfam says of the family: Ribonuclease P (RNase P) is a ubiquitous endoribonuclease, found in archaea, bacteria and eukarya as well as chloroplasts and mitochondria. Its best characterised activity is the generation of mature 5'-ends of tRNAs by cleaving the 5'-leader elements of precursor-tRNAs. Lineage: Archaea; Thermoproteati; Thermoproteota; Thermoprotei; Acidilobales; Acidilobaceae. RNAcentral also lists the same sequence under 1 other name. The record is from RNAcentral.
AGGCCGAGGCUGGCGGCCACGGGCCGCAAGGCCUGAGGAAACACCGCCCUCCCAGCGGCAGCUGGACCCCGCAAGGGGCCAGGGCAGACCUCUGGGCAACGGCACAGAGACGACACGGCCCUCGCGACAUGGCUAUGAUGCCGCGAGGCGAGCCUGGCGACAGGCUCGCAGUAACCGGCUGAGGACCGCGGGGGAUGCGGUGAAACGGCCGUCCCCAGCGGAGCAAGGCGGGGGCCUGUGAGGAGCCGCGGGAGGCCCCCAGGGCCGCUGAGUCAGAUGCCGCCGAAGUACAGAAGGCGGGUUACAGCCUCGGCCU